GUCAAUGACCUACUAGGAGGGGGGCGCCUCACUAGCUUUCUUGGUGAUUCAGUUGACUCGCCAUCUGGAGUCAUAUAGCAUCUCUUGGAAGGUUGGAGCAAAGGUGUAGUACUCAUCAAUUUUGCUGGAGUAGAUGCAAGUUUUGCUGGAGUACUCUCAGCACUUAACAAACAUGAACCAUCUUCAUUUGUCGUGUUUUUUACUGGAGUUGCUGGUAGAGGAGAUGGUUGUAAAGUAGCAGAAUGAACCCCUUGAGUUGAG
Molecule: unclassified non-coding RNA, 261 nt
Filed under: Hevea brasiliensis (rubber tree)
Lineage: Eukaryota; Viridiplantae; Streptophyta; Magnoliopsida; Malpighiales; Euphorbiaceae
Source: RNAcentral